This 218-nucleotide ribosomal RNA is filed under the name Campeiostachys nutans. RNAcentral describes it as "Elymus nutans partial small subunit ribosomal RNA". The stretch from base 47 to 218 matches the Rfam family "Eukaryotic small subunit ribosomal RNA", at positions 692 to 864 of the family's 1831-position model. Lineage: Eukaryota; Viridiplantae; Streptophyta; Magnoliopsida; Poales; Poaceae. The record is from RNAcentral.
GGGUCUACUCAUUGGUCAGGCUAAAUUGUCUGUACUGGUGAGAUGGAUCUCUACCUUCUGAGGAACUUUCAUGCCAUUUAUUUGGUGUGGUUGGAAACCAGGACUGUUACUUUGAAAAAAUUAGAGUGUUUAAAGCAAACUAUCGUCUGAAUAUAUUAGCAUGGAAUAAUGAAAUAGGACGGACUGAUUCUAUUUCGUUGGUUUCUAGGAUCACCGUA